GACAGCUUCACACUCAGCACAUCUGUCUGCUGCUUUCAGUGGAUAUUUGCUCCUAUUGCAGGAAGCAGGUUUAACAGACUAAACUGUGAGUCGAGGAAGAAAGAAAUCAUCAAUGGAGCUCUGAUACAGGGUUGACCAUGACAACGGGUAAACAAAGAGCAGAGCCUCCAUCUUAUGAAUUUAUGGAUUUGAUCAACUGGUCCCUGAAUGCAACUGACACCCUCUUCUCGACGAGAAGCCUGGGUUCGGGAGAGCCCGUGUGUCCUGGAGCGAUGUUCCCUGCCAGAUACACAAUGGAUGGGUGGAAGGGCUGGAGGGCCGUGUGUCUAGCGGGACUGUCGAUCGAGGACAUUGAAGACAUCAACCUUUUUGGAACCAAGAUAACAGGGUUCUUGCUGCUCGGCGCUGGCUUGGCCCAGGCUAAUUGAAGAACAAACCUGGGCCCCGCAAGACGGACCGGACUGUCGACCGCAAUGUGCUGGCCCACCUGGCUAGAUCAACUAAGCCUACUGUCAGACGUUGUAACUCCACUAUCAACUUUGGUCUAUUAAACAUCCGCACUAUCACUGGUGAGGGACAUCUCGUCCAGGAUCUUCUCUCCGAUCGGAAGUUGGAUUUUCUUCGCUUGACUGAAACGUGGCACCAGCCCAAUGAUUUUGUUUUUUUGUGACUCCAAAUCUGAUAAGUGUUGGUGAUUCAAUAUCCAUAUGGACAAUUGUUAGAUUUGUAUUGUUGAUUGUCAUUUAUGCUUAGAAACAUUUACCCACAUAUGCUUAGAAGUGUAUAAUCAUUUGUAGAUUGAAAGAAUGUCUCAUCCUAGGAGGUCUGUAACAGCUCUGUGUAGCAUGAAGGGGGAGUGCGUUCACUCCUCUACAGAGUGUUCCGGCGUAGAUCACACCUCCUAGGAGAGGUCGUAUCUUUUCUUAUUGAUUUAUGGUAUAGCAAGCACACGUAUAUCUGUUUAAGUAUAAGAGCCUUUUGUUCAGAUGGACCGCUAGACUCCUGGCACCAGCUUUGGGGAGUCUUCACAGGGUCACAUCUGGACAACACACACACACACACACAGUAUUCUUUGUUCACAUGUAUACCUAUGUAAGAUGUCAUAUGUUAAUGACCCUAUGCAUAUUCAUGUAACCACAAUAAAAGGAGUGCUAUGGGGAGCCUGGCUGAGAGUCUGACGGAGGUCAAGUGGUGGAACGACACUCGGCUCCAGCCAGCUUUCCCUCAUGCAUGAGUAAGACCAGCCUGCUUGUGUCUUGCUUUGCAGUGUAACUAUAUUGUCUUCAACGUUCCAGCGGAUAGGUACAAGCUAC
Astatotilapia calliptera (eastern happy) is the source of this 1313-nucleotide long non-coding RNA. Lineage: Eukaryota; Metazoa; Chordata; Actinopteri; Cichliformes; Cichlidae. The record is from Ensembl.